GGGUGUAGCUCAGUGGUAGAGUGCUUGCCUAGCAUGUAUGAGGCACUGGGUUCAAUUCUCAGCAUUACA
Molecule: transfer RNA, 69 nt
Filed under: Marmota monax (woodchuck)
Lineage: Eukaryota; Metazoa; Chordata; Mammalia; Rodentia; Sciuridae
Description: tRNA.Ala
Rfam family: tRNA (bases 4-64)
About the family: Transfer RNA (tRNA) molecules are approximately 80 nucleotides in length.
Source: RNAcentral